UGGGGAAUAUUGGGCAAUGGGCGAAAGCCUUACCCAGCAACGCCGCGUGAGGGAAGAAGGCUUUCGGGUUGUAAACUUCUUUUCUCAGGGACGAACAGAUGACGGUACCUGAGGAAUAAGCCACGGCUAACUACGUGCCAGCAGCCGCGGUAAUACGUAGGUGGCAAGCGUUAUCCGGAUUUACUGGGUGUAAAGGGCGUGUAGGCGGGAAAGCAAGUCAGAUGUGAAAACCAUGGGCUCAACCUGUGGCCUGCAUUUGAAACUGUUUUUCUUGAGUACUGGAGAGGCAGACGGAAUUCCUAGUGUAGCGGUGAAAUGCGUAGAUAUUAGGAGGAACACCAGUGGCGAAGGCGGUCUGCUGGACAGCAACUGACGCUGAGGCGCGAAAGCGUGGGGAGCAAACAGGAUUAGAUACCC
Molecule: ribosomal RNA, 417 nt
Filed under: uncultured bacterium
Lineage: Bacteria
Description: bacterial SSU rRNA
Rfam family: Bacterial small subunit ribosomal RNA
Source: RNAcentral